Molecule: non-coding RNA, 85 nt
Organism: Felis catus (domestic cat)
Lineage: Eukaryota; Metazoa; Chordata; Mammalia; Carnivora; Felidae
Source: Rfam
GCCUGGGUGGCUCAGUUGGUUGAGCGUCUGACUUCGGCUCAGGUCAUGAUCUUGCAGCUCGUGAGUUUGAGCCCCGUGUCGGGCU